CGAUUCGGAUUAAACAAUUAUUAUAAAUUGGAAAACACAAAUUCAAACAUAAAUUACAGAAACAAAUUUAAGAGCAUUGAUUAAACAAUUUUUAUCAAUCAGAAAACACAGUCAAACAAAAAUUACAUAAACAAAUUUAAGCGCAUCGAUUAAAAUAUCUUCUUAUACAACUUUAAUUGUACUUCUAGUCAAUAAUUUUAACUAUUCACACAUUUUUUGGAUUCUAAUUAAACUAUUAUUAUCAAUCGAAAC
Molecule: long non-coding RNA, 252 nt
Filed under: Brassica napus (rape)
Lineage: Eukaryota; Viridiplantae; Streptophyta; Magnoliopsida; Brassicales; Brassicaceae
Description: long non-coding RNA (BNAP_LNC012442)
Source: RNAcentral